RNAcentral lists this ribosomal RNA (253 nucleotides) under uncultured bacterium. RNAcentral describes it as "partial 16S ribosomal RNA". It matches the Rfam family "Bacterial small subunit ribosomal RNA", at positions 524 to 776 of the family's 1533-position model. The record is from RNAcentral.
UACAGAGGUCUCAAGCGUUGUUCGGAUUCAUUGGGCGUAAAGGGUGUGUAGGUGGCGCCGUAAGUCGGGUGUGAAAUUUCGGAGCUUAACUCCGAAACUGCAUUCGAUACUGCGGUGCUUGAGGACUGGAGAGGAGACUGGAAUUCAUGGUGUAGCAGUGAAAUGCGUAGAGAUCAUGAGGAAGACCAGUGGCGAAGGCGGCUGCCUGGGCCUGGCCUGACGCUGAGGCGCGAAAGCGUGGGGAGCAAUCCGG